Molecule: long non-coding RNA, 419 nt
Filed under: Neogobius melanostomus (round goby)
Lineage: Eukaryota; Metazoa; Chordata; Actinopteri; Gobiiformes; Gobiidae
Description: lncRNA (ENSNMLG00000025406.1)
Source: RNAcentral
UGUUCCCCUGCCUGCUCUAUCUCCUCCGUGCCAGUAGAUGUCCCUCUACUUCUAUGCUCGUCCCUACGCUCCGCUAUCAAAUGAAGAAGUCCCCCACCAAAACAACACGGUGAACCGGUGAACACUUGAACACGCUUCGUCCUCUACACUCCUGAAGUAGCGGUGUGUGCUAGCUGCCUGUGGCCGGGCAGAGAGCGCUUUGGUGCGGGUUGACUGACAUGUGUGACCCCGGGGCUGCGGCGCUGACGCUCACGGUCCGCCUGGUGCGCUCUUCGAGUACUGUAACUUCAAACCCGUGGUGUUCCAGGUGGUGUCACCGGAGCAGAGUGUGCAGGAGUUUAUCCAGCAUGUGCUCAAAGAUAUUGAGACAAGACCUGGACUGCCACCUCCAUUUAGGAAAUAUCAUUAUGACACUAUGA